UACAGAGGGUGCGAGCGUUAAUCGGAAUUACUGGGCGUAAAGCGUGCGUAGACGGUUAUCUAAGUCAGAUGUGAAAGCCCCGGGCUCAACCUGGGAAUUGCAUUUGAGACUGAAUAGCUAGGGUACGGUAGAGGGAAGUGGAAUUUCCGGUGUAGUGGUGAAAUGCGUAGAUAUCGGAAGGAACAUCAGUGGCGAAAGCGACUUCCUGGACCAGUACCGACGUUCAGGCACGAAAGCGUGGGGAGCAAACAGG
This 253-nucleotide ribosomal RNA is filed under the name uncultured bacterium. RNAcentral's name for it is "partial 16S ribosomal RNA". It matches the Rfam family "Bacterial small subunit ribosomal RNA", at positions 524 to 776 of the family's 1533-position model. The record is from RNAcentral.